RNAcentral lists this ribosomal RNA (497 nucleotides) under uncultured bacterium. RNAcentral's name for it is "partial 16S ribosomal RNA". It matches the Rfam family "Bacterial small subunit ribosomal RNA", at positions 28 to 507 of the family's 1533-position model. The record is from RNAcentral.
GAUGAACGCUGGCGGCGUGCCUAAUACAUGCAAGUCGAGCGAACAGACGAGGAGCUUGCUCCUCUUACGUUAGCGGCGGACGGGUGAGUAACACGUGGAUAACCUACCUAUAAGACUGGGAUAACUUCGGGAAACCGGAGCUAAUACCGGAUAAUAUAUUGAACCGCAUGGUUCAUUAGUGAAAGACGGUUUUGCUGUCACUUAUAGAUGGAUCCGCGCCGCAUUAGCUAGUUGGUAAGGUAACGGCUUACCAAGGCAACGAUGCGUAGCCGACCUGAGAGGGUGAUCGGCCACACUGGAACUGAGACACGGUCCAGACUCCUACGGGAGGCAGCAGUAGGGAAUCUUCCGCAAAGGGCGAAAGCCUGACGGAGCAACGCCGCGUGAGUGAUGAAGGUCUUCGGAUCGUAAAACUCUGUUAUUAGGGAAGAACAAAUGUGUAAGUAACUAUGCACGUCUUGACGGUACCUAAUCAGAAAGCCACGGCUAACUACGUG